This 872-nucleotide ribosomal RNA is filed under the name uncultured marine organism. RNAcentral's name for it is "SSU rRNA". It matches the Rfam family "Bacterial small subunit ribosomal RNA", at positions 59 to 929 of the family's 1533-position model. The record is from RNAcentral.
AAGUCGAACGGUAACAUGAGAGCUUGCUCUUGAUGACGAGUGGCGUACGGGUGCGUAACGCGUAUGCAACCUACCUUAAACUGGGGGAUAGCCCGGAGAAAUUCGGAUUAAUACCCCAUAGUAUUAUUGAAUGGCAUCGUUUAAUAAUUAAAGAUUUAUUGGUUUAAGAUGGGCAUGCGUAAGAUUAGCUAGUUGGUAAGGUAACGGCUUACCAAGGCAACGAUCUUUAGGGGGUCUGAGAGGAUGAUCCCCCACACUGGUACUGAGACACGGACCAGACUCCUACGGGAGGCAGCAGUAGGGAAUAUUGGUCAAUGGGGGCAACCCUGAACCAGCCAUGCCGCGUGGAGGAAGACGGCCUUCUGGGUUGUAAACUCCUUUUAUAUGGGAAGAAAUAAUCCUUGCGAGGAUAGAUGACUGUACCAUAAGAAUAAGCACCGGCUAACUCCGUGCCAGCAGCCGCGGUAAUACGGAGGGUGCAAGCGUUGUCCGGAAUUAUUGGGUUUAAAGGGUGCGUAGGCGGCCUAUUAAGUCAGAGGUGAAAUCCCACAGCUUAACUGUGGAACUGCCUUUGAUACUGGUAGGCUUGAGUAUGGUAAAGGUAGGCGGAAUUUAUGAUGUAGCGGUGAAAUGCAUAGAUAUCAUAAAGAACACCAAUUGCGAAGGCAGCUUACUAGGCCAUAACUGACGCUGAGGCACGAAAGCGUGGGGAGCGAACAGGAUUAGAUACCCUGGUAGUCCACGCCGUAAACGAUGAUUACUCGAUGUUGGCGACAGACAGUCAGCGUCCAAGCGAAAGCGUUAAGUAAUCCACCUGGGGAGUACGCUGGCAACAGUGAAACUCAAAGGAAUUGACGGGGGGUCCGCACAAG